This 253-nucleotide ribosomal RNA is filed under the name uncultured bacterium. RNAcentral's name for it is "partial 16S ribosomal RNA". It matches the Rfam family "Bacterial small subunit ribosomal RNA", at positions 524 to 776 of the family's 1533-position model. The record is from RNAcentral.
UACGUAUGGGGCAAGCGUUAUCCGGAUUUACUGGGUGUAAAGGGAGCGCAGGCGGCCUGGCAAGCCUGAUGUGAAAUACCGGGGCCCAACCCCGGGGCUGCAUUGGGAACUGCCAGGCUGGAGUGCCGGAGAGGCAGGCGGAAUUCCUAGUGUGGCGGUGAAAUGCGUAGAUAUUAGGAGGAACACCAGUGGCGAAGGCGGCCUGCUGGACGGUGACUGACGCUGAGGCUCGAAAGCGUGGGGAGCAAACAGG